RNAcentral lists this ribosomal RNA (366 nucleotides) under Triticum aestivum (bread wheat). RNAcentral describes it as "partial small subunit ribosomal RNA". The record is from RNAcentral. Lineage: Eukaryota; Viridiplantae; Streptophyta; Magnoliopsida; Poales; Poaceae.
AUGCCCUCUAUGUUCCCUCUCCCUGGCCACCUUGCCCCAUGCACACCCCAUAUGCCUAUGUUCACCUCGGCUGCUCCAGACAUCGGCACGUACGUCUGCGGCAUCGGUGGAUCUAGCUAUUAUGUUGUGCUCGCUCCUCAUGUUCGAUGCGGGAGGUGGUGGCAUCGGAUCUUGCCCUCCUCGCCUGUUGCUACUCACGGCCGGCGGCCUGCUUCAUGUUUCAGGUACCCUUUGAUUGUGGAUGAAGUGUUGAACAAGGAGGCCUGCGAAUGCCCCAAAUGCAGGAAGGAGUGCAACUGCGGCGUGUGCCAAACUAGAAAGGGGAGGCCCCGACAGGGAGAAUUGUUUGUGCUACCAAGAGGAUGA